Molecule: ribosomal RNA, 462 nt
Filed under: uncultured bacterium
Lineage: Bacteria
Description: partial 16S ribosomal RNA
Rfam family: Bacterial small subunit ribosomal RNA
Source: RNAcentral
GACGAACGCUGGCGGCGUGCUUAACACAUGCAAGUCGAGCGGUAAGGCCUUUCGGGGUACACGAGCGGCGAACGGGUGAGUAACACGUGGGUGAUCUGCCCUGCACUUCGGGAUAAGCCUGGGAAACUGGGUCUAAUACCGGAUAUGACCUCCUAUCGCAUGGGGGGUGGUGGAAAGAUUUAUCGGUGCAGGAUGGGCCCGCGGCCUAUCAGCUUGUUGGUGGGGUAAUGGCCUACCAAGGCGACGACGGGUAGCCGACCUGAGAGGGUGACCGGCCACACUGGGACUGAGAGAGGGCCCAGACUCCUACGGGAGGCAGCAGUGGGGAAUAUUGCACAAUGGGCGAAAGCCUGAUGCAGCGACGCCGCGUGAGGGAUGAAGGCCUUCGGGUUGUAAACCUCUUUCAGCAGGGACGAAGCGCAAGUGACGGUACCUGCAGAAGAAGCACCGGCUAACUACGUG